AGCAGCCGCGGUAAUUCCAGCUCCAAUAGCGUAUAUUAAAGUUGUUGCAGUUAAAAGCUCGUAGUUGAAUUUCGGGGUUAGUAGGUUGGUCAUGCCUCUGGUAUGUACUGGUCUCACUGAUUCCUCCUUCCUGAUGAGCCGUAAUGCCAUUAAUUUGGUGUUGCGGGGAAUUUGGACUGUUACUUUGAAAAAUUAAAGUGUUUAAAGCAAGCUAACGCUUGAAUACAUUAGCAUGGAAUAAUGAAAUAGGACGUUCGAUCCUAUUUUGUUGGUUUCUAGGAUUGACGUAAUGAUUAAUAGGGAUAGUUGGGGGCAUUAGUAUUCAAUUGUCAGAGGUGAAAUUCUUGGAUUUAUUGAAAGACUAACUACUGCGAAAGCAUUUGCCAAGGAUGUUUUCAUUAAUCAAGAACGAAAGUUAGGGAUCGAGGACGAUCAGAUACCGUCGUAGUCUUAACCAUAAACUAUGCCGACUAGGGAUCGGAUGAUGUUUAAUUUUUAAUGUACUCAUUCGGCGCCUUAA
Molecule: unclassified non-coding RNA, 520 nt
Filed under: uncultured Glomus
Lineage: Eukaryota; Fungi; Glomeromycota; Glomeromycetes; Glomerales; Glomeraceae
Description: SSU rRNA
Rfam family: Eukaryotic small subunit ribosomal RNA
Source: RNAcentral